This 262-nucleotide ribosomal RNA is filed under the name uncultured archaeon. RNAcentral describes it as "partial 16S ribosomal RNA". It matches the Rfam family "Archaeal small subunit ribosomal RNA", at positions 717 to 982 of the family's 1478-position model. The record is from RNAcentral.
AGUCACUGACAUUAGAUACCCGUGUAGUCCAGGGUGUAAACGCUGCAGACUUGGUGUUGGAAGUCCUUUGGGGGCAUUCAGUGCCGGAGAGAAGUUGUUAAGUCUGCUACUUGGGAGUACGUCCGCAAGGAUGAAACUUAAGGAAUUGGCGGGGAGCACCGCAACGGGAGGUAGCGUGCGGUUUAAUUGGAUUCAACGCCGAAAACUCACCAGCAGCGACUGUUACAUGAAAGUCAGGUUGAUGACCUUACUAGAUUUUCAG